GCCGGAGUGGCGGAACGGUAGACGCACCGGACUUAAAAUCCGGUGGGCUCCAGCCCGUGCGGGUUCGAAUCCCGCCUCCGGCACCA
Molecule: transfer RNA, 86 nt
Filed under: Thermoanaerobaculaceae bacterium
Lineage: Bacteria; Pseudomonadati; Acidobacteriota; Thermoanaerobaculia; Thermoanaerobaculales; Thermoanaerobaculaceae
Description: tRNA-Leu
Rfam family: tRNA
About the family: Transfer RNA (tRNA) molecules are approximately 80 nucleotides in length. Their secondary structure includes four short double-helical elements and three loops (D, anti-codon, and T loops). Further hydrogen bonds mediate the characteristic L-shaped molecular structure. tRNAs have two regions of fundamental functional importance: the anti-codon, which is responsible for specific mRNA codon recognition, and the 3' end, to which the tRNAs corresponding amino acid is attached (by aminoacyl-tRNA synthetases). tRNAs cope with the degeneracy of the genetic code in two manners: having more than one tRNA (with a specific anti-codon) for a particular amino acid; and 'wobble' base-pairing, i.e. permitting non-standard base-pairing at the 3rd anti-codon position.
Source: RNAcentral